Molecule: long non-coding RNA, 303 nt
Organism: Magallana angulata
Lineage: Eukaryota; Metazoa; Mollusca; Bivalvia; Ostreida; Ostreidae
Exons: 3
Source: RefSeq, a predicted model, not a curated record
CAGAACGAUGGCACAAUUCAAAGAUGUGUUAGCCUUUACGCUGUGGACGUUGAAAAAUACGUUCCAUUACGGAUUUAUCCCAGCUGUAAUAUAUUUAGGUUUCAAGAAGGGAGCUGAUGAAGGAAUGCCAAAAAUAACAUUCUCUAGUUUGUUAUGGAGCUGAAGAAUAUUUAUGGCAGGAAAUACAACCUCACCGUGAUCAAAUUGAAAUACAGACUUUGCCUGGCCGUGAGCUGUCAUUGAGCUGAUGUUUUUAAUUAGUAAUAAAACAGCUUUCUGAUAAAAUAAAUUUAAAAUGAAAAA